This 1119-nucleotide long non-coding RNA is filed under the name Ornithorhynchus anatinus (platypus). RNAcentral describes it as "lncRNA (ENSOANG00000049007.1)". The record is from RNAcentral. Lineage: Eukaryota; Metazoa; Chordata; Mammalia; Monotremata; Ornithorhynchidae.
AUGGCCCCAGGACGGACCCCCGGACACGGGGGCGGGGGGGUCCUUAGGUACCCGCGCACACACACACACACACGGGCCGAGAGGUCAGCCCCCUCCCCCCCAUCGCCCCCCGCCCGCUCCGGAGGGUGGUGCAGUGUGAGCCCCGGGCUGGGGCUGGGGCUGGGGGGUGGGGGCGCGGCGGUGACAUCAUCCGCACUCCCUCAGACCCCCGGGCCCCUCCGGCCGGGGGCGGCGAGGAGGAGGAGGAGGAGGAGGAGGAGGGCAUGGAGAACCCCGGGCCGGGCCGGGCCGGGCCGGGCCGGGCCGGGCAGCGCUCCCUCCCUCCCUCCGUCCCUCCCUCCGUCCCUCCCUCCGUCCCUCCCUCCCUCCGUCCCCCCGACCCCCGGCCCCCGGCCCCCCACGGGCCCCUUCCCCACCUUACUCUUGGCAGGACCGGGCCGGGCCUGGCCGGGCCGGGCCGAGCCGGGCCGGGGGUCGCGUCGGCAGCGGUCGGCGGCGGUGGGCAGCCGAGCCCGGGCUGGGCGUGCGGGGGACCCCGGCCCGUCCCCCCGGCCCGCCCCCCGGUCCGCCCCGCCCCCCGGGCCCGCCCCCCGCCCGCCCCUUCCCCCCACUCCUGCGGCAAACCGCCGCCCCGCCCCCACCCCGCCCAGCCGGCCUGCCGGGGGGCGGGGGCCCCCACAAACGCACACACACACCCCCGUCCGUACGGCCCCCUCCCCCAAUCGGGCCGGACGCCCCCGGGGGUCCUGCCUUGCUCCCCCGUCCUCGGGGGGACGUGCAAUCCCGUCCGUCCGUCCGUCUAUCCAUCCAUCCAUCCAUCCAUCCAUCCAUCCAUCCAUCCAUCCAUCCAUCCUCGUCAUCGCCCUGGCCGGGAGGCUGCAGGCAUCCGCCGAACGCUCCCCGUGGGCCGGACGCUGUACUGAGCGCUGGGGCGGGCGCCACCAAAUGGGGCCGGCCCCGGGCCCAAGGGGAGCUCACAGCCUCCGUCCCCGGCUGACGGAGGAGGGGACCGAGGCCCAGAGAACCAUCAUCAUCCUGCUCUGCGCUAAGCACUUACUAUGUGCUAGCCCAUCUCUUCGGCCAUUCCGUCUGCCUGCCGGGCGCAGACCACUGUACUAA